This 506-nucleotide ribosomal RNA is filed under the name uncultured bacterium. Its description in RNAcentral is "partial 16S ribosomal RNA". It matches the Rfam family "Bacterial small subunit ribosomal RNA", at positions 29 to 523 of the family's 1533-position model. The record is from RNAcentral.
AGUGAACGCUGGCGGUAGGCCUAACACAUGCAAGUCGAACGGCAGCACAGGAGAGCUUGCUCUCUGGGUGGCGAGUGGCGGACGGGUGAGGAAUACAUCGGAAUCUACUCUGUCGUGGAGGAUAACGUAGGGAAACUUACGCUAAUACCGCAUACGACCUACGGGUGAAAGCAGGGGACCUUCGGGCCUUGCGCGAUUGAAUGAGCCGAUGUCGGAUUAGCUAGUUGGCGGGGUAAAGGCCCACCAAGGCGACGAUCCGUAGCUGGUCUGAGAGGAUGAUCAGCCACACGGGAACUGAGACACGGUCCAGACUCCUACGGGAGGCAGCAGUGGGGAAUAUUGGACAAUGGGCGCAAGCCUGAUCCAGCCAUACCGCGUGGGUGAAAAAGGCCUUCGGGUUGUAAAGCCCUUUUGUUGGGAAAGAAAUCCAGCUGGCUAAUACCCGGUUGGGAUGACGGUACCCAAAGAAUAAGCACCGGCUAACUUCGUGCCAGCCGCCGCAGUAA